RNAcentral lists this ribosomal RNA (815 nucleotides) under Chalaropsis thielavioides. RNAcentral describes it as "partial large subunit ribosomal RNA". It matches the Rfam family "Eukaryotic large subunit ribosomal RNA", at positions 72 to 916 of the family's 3401-position model. Lineage: Eukaryota; Fungi; Ascomycota; Sordariomycetes; Microascales; Ceratocystidaceae. The record is from RNAcentral.
GGAUUGCCCUAGUAACGGCGAGCGAAGCGGCAACAGCUCAAAUUUGAAAUCUGGCUACUUUGUAGUCCGAGUUGUAAUUUGUAGAGGAUGCUUUUGGUGAGGUGCCUUCCGAGUUCCCUGGAACGGGACGCCAGAGAGGGUGAGAGCCCCGUACGGUUGGAUACCAAACCUUUGUAUAGCUCCUUCAACGAGUCGAGUAGUUUGGGAAUGCUGCUCUAAAUGGGAGGUAUAUCUCUUCUAAAGCUAAAUAUAGGCUAGAGACCGAUAGCGCACAAGUAGAGUGAUCGAAAGAUGAAAAGCACUUUGAAAAGAGAGUUAAACAGCACGUGAAAUUGUUGAAAGGGAAGCGCCUAUGACCAGACUUGUUUCUUUCAGUUUUGUUAGUUCUCGGACUGAUUUACUCUGUUAGUACAGGCCAGCAUCAGUUUGUUGUCGGGGAGAAAGGCUUAGGGAAUGUGGCUCCUUCGGGAGUGUUAUAGCCCUUUGCAUAAUACCCUUCGGCAGACUGAGGACCGCGCUUCGGCAAGGAUGCUGGCGUAAUGGUCAUCAGCGACCCGUCUUGAAACACGGACCAAGGAGUCAACCUUAUGUGCGAGUGUUUGGGUGUAAAACCCCAGCGCGUAAUGAACGUGAACGUAGGUGAGAGCUUCGGCGCAUCAUCGACCGAUUCUGAUGUUCUCGGAUGGAUUUGAGUAAGAGCACACAGGGUUGGACCCGAAAGAAGGUGAACUAUGCUUGUAUAGGGUGAAGCCAGAGGAAACUCUGGUGGAGGCUCGCAGCGGUUCUGACGUGCAAAUCGAUCGUCAAAUAUGAGC